Molecule: ribosomal RNA, 483 nt
Filed under: uncultured bacterium
Lineage: Bacteria
Description: partial 16S ribosomal RNA
Rfam family: Bacterial small subunit ribosomal RNA
Source: RNAcentral
AUUGAACGCUGGCGGCAGGCCUAACACAUGCAAGUCGAGCGGAUGAAGGGAGCUUGCUCCUGGAUUCAGCGGCGGACGGGUGAGUAAUGCCUAGGAAUCUGCCUGGUAGUGGGGGAUAACGUCCGGAAACGGGCGCUAAUACCGCAUACGUCCUGAGGGAGAAAGUGGGGGAUCUUCGGACCUCACGCUAUCAGAUGAGCCUAGGUGGAUUAGCUAGUUGGCGGGGUAAAGGCCUACCAAGGCGACGAUCCGUAACUGGUCUGAGAGGAUGAUCAGUCACACUGGAACUGAGACACGGUCCAGACUCCUACGGGAGGCAGCAGUGGGGAAUAUUGGACAAUGGGCGAAAGCCUGAUCCAGCCAUGCCGCGUGUGUGAAGAAGGUCUUCGGAUUGUAAAGCACUUUAAGUUGGGAGGAAGGGCAGUAAGUUAAUACCUUGCUGUUUUGACGUUACCAACAGAAUAAGCACCGGCUAACUUCGUG